AUGUAAAUAUAGUUUAAUAAAAACACUAUGCUGUGGACCUAGUAACAAGGGCCCAAAGCCCUUUAUUUACC
RNAcentral lists this transfer RNA (71 nucleotides) under Cyrtodactylus loriae. RNAcentral's name for it is "tRNA-His". It matches the Rfam family "tRNA". Rfam says of the family: Transfer RNA (tRNA) molecules are approximately 80 nucleotides in length. Their secondary structure includes four short double-helical elements and three loops (D, anti-codon, and T loops). Lineage: Eukaryota; Metazoa; Chordata; Lepidosauria; Squamata; Gekkonidae. The record is from RNAcentral.